AGCCUUUGUUAGAAUAUUCUGAUAAUGAUUCGAAGCUGGUACAGCUGGGAGAGAUUUCUUUCCUCCAGAUUUCUGGAGAAAUCACUCCAGUUGGGAGAGAUUUCUUUUCUCUUGCUUCUCUGAGCAGCUCUUUCAGGCUGCUCUGUGUUUCCUGGCAUUUUGCACAGAAGACCGGAUUGGGGAAAUAGUAAAACCGUGGUUCGUAUGACCACACAUUUUGCAGGCAGAAACGAUUUCCAGGUCCUGAUUUGUGGAACUGCCUCUGCAAGAAGUGCUUGAGGGCCAAUUACUUCUAUUUUGUGAGAAAGAUCGGUAACACACUGAGCAUUGUGCCCACUUGCUUGCUGUCUCCAAACUUGACACCCCAGCUGUGGGAAUGUGCCCUGGACAGGCCAGAGCUGCUGCUGUUUUGAUAUUCUUACUGCUUUGGCUUGCACAUACUGGGAUCAGACUGAGUACUUAAUUUACCCCCUUGCUCAAUAUUUUAUAAAGUAGCUAUAUUUCUCCAUUGAUAAUAAUGGUGUGCCUGUAUUUGCAAUUUGCAACUUCAAAGGACUAAAGAACUGGACUCAGACUUGAAGCACACAUGUAUUUUAAGGACUUUUUUUCCUAGGGAAAGAUGACCUGGGAAAAUUCUUGAAGUAAAGUUGAUGCUUCAUUGCAUAUUUCUGAACAUGUGAAACAAGCUUUGACAUGAAAAUGUUUUCGUGAUGGUAACUUAAAAAAGCCUCUUGCAAACACAAUAAUGUUGUAAAUAUGUUGCCUAGGCAUCUAAACACAUUUAGAAUGGUAUAUUACCCUCUUUGUUCUGUUUUGUUUUGACCUUUUUGUAAUAUCGUUUGUGGUCUGAUUCAUACCAUGCAGAAAACAAUUAAUGAAUGCUGAAUAUCUUUGUUUUUCUUGUCAUGUAAUCCUUACCCUUUUUCUAGACAAACACUAGUCAAAUCUGUUCAAACUUAAACAGGGGGGAUUUAGGUUCAAUGUAAGGAACAAGUUCUUUACUGUGAGGAUGGUAAGGCACUGGAAUGGGUUGACUAAGG
Melopsittacus undulatus (budgerigar) is the source of this 1040-nucleotide long non-coding RNA. RefSeq lists it as uncharacterized. The transcript has 3 exons. NCBI's taxonomy places the organism in Eukaryota, Metazoa, Chordata, Aves, Psittaciformes, Psittaculidae. The record is from RefSeq and is a predicted model, not a curated record.